GCUGCAGCAGCUGGGGUCAAAGGUCACCAGGGCUGCAAAUAGACUAGCUGAUCUGCUGUCAGACUGUCAGGAGGCUCAGGAGCACCUGGAUUCUCUCACCUGUCAGGAGCAGCGCAGCGUCUGGCUGCCAGGGGGCAGCAGAGAGCUGGAGGGCAGGAGGAGACGCACUGACAGGUCUGGGACCAGAACGUCCUGUCCGCCCUUCAUCAUUUGAGGGGGCGGAGCUGCAGAAGAAGGCGGA
Poecilia reticulata (guppy) is the source of this 241-nucleotide non-coding RNA. Lineage: Eukaryota; Metazoa; Chordata; Actinopteri; Cyprinodontiformes; Poeciliidae. The record is from RefSeq and is a predicted model, not a curated record.